This 72-nucleotide transfer RNA is filed under the name Diaporthe longicolla. RNAcentral describes it as "tRNA-Gly". It matches the Rfam family "tRNA". Rfam says of the family: Transfer RNA (tRNA) molecules are approximately 80 nucleotides in length. Lineage: Eukaryota; Fungi; Ascomycota; Sordariomycetes; Diaporthales; Diaporthaceae. The record is from RNAcentral.
AACGGCUAUCAUUUAAUGGUAGGAUGUCUGUCUUCCAAACAGAGUGUGUCGGUUCGAUUCCGACUAGCCGUA